GCGUCCAUUGUCUAAUGGUAAUGACAGAGGUCUUCUAAAUCUUUGGGAUAGGUUCAAAUCAUAUUGGAAGCA
Non-coding RNA from Rhododendron griersonianum, 72 nucleotides. Lineage: Eukaryota; Viridiplantae; Streptophyta; Magnoliopsida; Ericales; Ericaceae. The record is from the annotation of a GenBank genome assembly.